RNAcentral lists this ribosomal RNA (1405 nucleotides) under uncultured bacterium. RNAcentral describes it as "bacterial SSU rRNA". It matches the Rfam family "Bacterial small subunit ribosomal RNA". The record is from RNAcentral.
AGAGUUUGAUCCUGGCUCAGGAUGAACGCUAGCGACAGGCUUAACACAUGCAAGUCGAGGGGCAGCGGGGGAGUAGCAAUACUCCCGCCGGCGACCGGCGCACGGGUGAGUAACACGUAUGAAACCUGCCCGUAGCAGGGGGAUAAGCGGAAGAAAUUCCGUCUAAUACCGCGUAACAACCCUUGGAGGCAUCUCCUCGGGUUUAAAGGAAGCGAUUCCGGCUACGGAUGGUCAUGCGUCGCAUUAGCUUGUUGGCGGGGUAACGGCCCACCAAGGCGACGAUGCGUAGGGGUUCUGAGAGGAAGGUCCCCCACACUGGUACUGAGACACGGACCAGACUCCUACGGGAGGCAGCAGUGAGGAAUAUUGGUCAAUGGGCGGGAGCCUGAACCAGCCAAGUCGCGUGAGGGAUGACGGUCCUGUGGAUUGUAAACCUCUUUUGUCAGGGAGCAAAGGGCGUCACGUGUGGCGCUUUGCGAGUACCUGAAGAAAAAGCAUCGGCUAACUCCGUGCCAGCAGCCGCGGUAAUACGGAGGAUGCGAGCGUUAUCCGGAUUUAUUGGGUUUAAAGGGUGCGCAGGCGGAAUGUCAAGUCAGCGGUAAAAUUUCGGGGCUCAACCCCGUCGUGCCGUUGAAACUGGCGUUCUUGAGUGAGCGAGAAGUAUGCGGAAUGCGUGGUGUAGCGGUGAAAUGCAUAGAUAUCACGCAGAACUCCGAUUGCGAAGGCAGCAUACCGGCGCCCAACUGACGCUGAAGCACGAAAGCGUGGGUAUCGAACAGGAUUAGAUACCCUGGUAGUCCACGCAGUAAACGAUGAAUACUAGCUGUCCGGGGCGAAUGAGCCCUGGGUGGCACAGCGAAAGCGUUAAGUAUUCCACCUGGGGAGUACGCCGGCAACGGUGAAACUCAAAGGAAUUGACGGGGGCCCGCACAAGCGGAGGAACAUGUGGUUUAAUUCGAUGAUACGCGAGGAACCUUACCCGGGCUCAAACGACACAGGAACGUACCUGAAAGGGUUCGGCUCUACGGAGCCUGUGUCGAGGUGCUGCAUGGUUGUCGUCAGCUCGUGCCGUGAGGUGUCGGCUUAAGUGCCAUAACGAGCGCAACCCCCAUCGACAGUUGCUAACAGGUCAGGCUGAGGACUCUGUCGAGACUGCCGGCGCAAGCUGCGAGGAGGGCGGGGAUGACGUCAAAUCAGCACGGCCCUUACGUCCGGGGCGACACACGUGUUACAAUGGCAGGUACAGCGGGAAGCCACCUGGCGACAGGGAGCGGAACCCGAAAGCCUGUCUCAGUUCGGAUUGGAGUCUGCAACCCGACUCCAUGAAGCUGGAUUCGCUAGUAAUCGCGCAUCAGCCACGGCGCGGUGAAUACGUUCCCGGGCCUUGCACUCACCGCCCGUCAAG